AGACCCGAAACCCGGUGAUCUAGCCAUGGGCAGGUUGAAGGUUGGGUAACACUAACUGGAGGACCGAACCGACUAAUGUUGAAAAAUUAGCGGAUGACCUGUGGCUGGGGGUGAAAGGCCAAUCAAACCGGGAGAUAGCUGGUUCUCCCCGAAAGCUAUUUAGGUAGCGCCUCGUGAAUUCAUCUCCGGGGGUAGAGCACUGUUUCGGCUAGGGGGCCAUCCCGGCUUACCAACCCGAUGCAAACUGCGAAUACCGGAGAAUGUUAUCACGGGAGACACACGGCGGGUGCUAACGUCCGUCGUGAAGAGGGAAACAACCCAGACCGCCAGCUAAGGUCCCAAAGUCAUGGUUAAGUGGGAAACGAUGUGGGAAGGCCCAGACAGCCAGGAUGUUGGCUUAGAAGCAGCCAUCAUUUAAAGAAAGCGUAAUAGCUCACUGGUCGAGUCGGCCUGCGCGGAAGAUGUAACGGGGCUAAACCAUGCACCGAAGCUGCGGCAGCGAACGUAUCACCCAAGACAACUUUACGGAGUUGACGAUUGACGGAGCGAAGCGACGUCAAAGCGUUCAUUAAAGUCGAGUUGGCUUAGGGAUACGUUCGUUGGGUAGGGGAGCGUUCUGUAAGCCUGUGAAGGUGUGUCGUGAGGCAUGCUGGAGGUAUCAGAAGUGCGAAUGCUGACAUAAGUAACGAUAAAGCGGGUGAAAAGCCCGCUCGCCGGAAGACCAAGGGUUCCUGUCCAACGUUAAUCGGGGCAGGGUGA
Molecule: ribosomal RNA, 759 nt
Filed under: Salmonella enterica
Lineage: Bacteria; Pseudomonadati; Pseudomonadota; Gammaproteobacteria; Enterobacterales; Enterobacteriaceae
Also listed under: 1 other name
Description: partial 23S ribosomal RNA
Rfam family: Bacterial large subunit ribosomal RNA
Source: RNAcentral